UCCAUUGAUUAAGCCUCAUAUUAUAGAGC
RNAcentral lists this small RNA (29 nucleotides) under Bombyx mori (domestic silkworm). Its description in RNAcentral is "piRNA piR-bmo-1604939". Lineage: Eukaryota; Metazoa; Arthropoda; Insecta; Lepidoptera; Bombycidae. The record is from RNAcentral.